UUGGUUUAAAUUGAAAAGGGAGACUGAGACAGACAAGGAGAAAUAGAGCCAGGGAAAGGAGAGGAGAAUAUAAAACACUCCUGCAAUAAUUUUUUUUUUUUACUUCUGAAGACUGUAGUUAGUUGGAAAGAGCCAUCAUCUGGGAUACCUUUCCGGGGGAAAACUUAACCAUUCUGAUACACUUUUCUCCUGAGAAAUUUGGUGCUCUUACUCAUAACGAUGACAGAAAAUGGGCCCCUGAGAACAGAAGCGCAGCCAUGUGGGGAUGGGAACUAGCUGACAUUUAGAAAUAUUCUGGUCAAGAGUUUCAGUUGCUGUUUGUGUUUCGGGGAUGCUGGUGUGAAGCCCAGCUAAGUCAUCAGGUUUAACAGGUAACCCCUGAGUAGAUCAGCAAAGCCCUGUGGGGCACAGAGAGAAGACAGAAGCUGGUGAAAGGCACAUGCCUAGGCCUCCCUGAGAAUCAGGAAGAG
RNAcentral lists this long non-coding RNA (470 nucleotides) under Felis catus (domestic cat). Its description in RNAcentral is "lncRNA (ENSFCAG00000047411.1)". The record is from RNAcentral. Lineage: Eukaryota; Metazoa; Chordata; Mammalia; Carnivora; Felidae.